UUGCUAGCUUGCUAUAAUUCUCUAGUGGCGCACGCGGUGAGUAACACGUGAGUAACCUGCCCCCGAGAGCGGGAUAGCCCUGGGAAACUGGGAUUAAUACCGCAUAGUAUCGAAAGAUUAAAGCAGCAAUGCGCUUGGGGAUGGGCUCGCGGCCUAUUAGUUAGUUGGUGAGGUAACGGCUCACCAAGGCGAUGACGGGUAGCCGGUCUGAGAGGAUGUCCGGCCACACUGGAACUGAGACACGGUCCAGACACCUACGGGUGGCAGCAGUCGAGAAUCAUUCACAAUGGGGGAAACCCUGAUGGUGCGACGCCGCGUGGGGGAAUGAAGGUCUUCGGAUUGUAAACCCCUGUCAUGUGGGAGCAAAUUAAAAAGAUAGUACCACAAGAGGAAGAGACGGCUAACUCUGUGCCAGCAGCCGCGGUAAUACAGAGGUCUCAAGCGUUGUUCGGAAUCACUGGGCGUAAAGCGUGCGUAGGCUGUUUCGUAAGUCGUGUGUGAAAGGCGCGGGCUCAACCCGCGGACGGCACAUGAUACUGCGAGACUAGAGUAAUGGAGGGGGAACCGGAAUUCUCGGUGUAGCAGUGAAAUGCGUAGAUAUCGAGAGGAACACUCGUGGCGAAGGCGGGUUCCUGGACAUUAACUGACGCUGAGGCACGAAGGCCAGGGGAGCGAAAGGGAUUAGAUACCCCUGUAGUCCUGGCAGUAAACGGUGCACGCUUGGUGUGCGGGGAAUCGACCCCCUGCGUGCCGGAGCUAACGCGUUAAGCGUGCCGCCUGGGGAGUACGGUCGCAAGAUUAAAACUCAAAGAAAUUGACGGGGACCCGCACAAGCGGUGGAGUAUGUGGCUUAAUUCGAUGCAACGCGAAAGACCUUACCUGGGCUUG
Molecule: ribosomal RNA, 888 nt
Filed under: uncultured bacterium
Lineage: Bacteria
Description: bacterial SSU rRNA
Rfam family: Bacterial small subunit ribosomal RNA
Source: RNAcentral